GAUGAACGCUGGCGGCGUGCCUAAUACAUGCAAGUCGAGCGAACAGACGAGGAGCUUGCUCCUUCGACGUUAGCGGCGGACGGGUGAGUAACACGUAGGUCACCUACCUAUAUUUCUGGGAUAACUUCGGGAAACCGGAGCUAAUACCGGAUAAUAUUUCGAACCGCAUGGUUCGAUAGUGAAAGAUGGCUUUGCUGUCACUUAUAGAUGGACCUGCGCCGUAUUAGCUAGUUGGUAAGGUAACGGCUUACCAAGGCAACGAUACGUAGCCGACCUGAGAGGGUGAUCGGCCACACUGGAACUGAGACACGGUCCAGACUCCUACGGGAGGCAGCAGUAGGGAAUCUUCCGCAAUGGGCGAAAGCCUGACGGAGCAACGCCGCGUGAGUGAUGAAGGUCUUCGGAUCGUAAAACUCUGUUAUUAGGGAAGAACAAACGUGUAAGUAACUGUGCACGUCUUGACGGUACCUAAUCAGAAAGCCACGGCUAACUACGUG
RNAcentral lists this ribosomal RNA (497 nucleotides) under uncultured bacterium. RNAcentral describes it as "partial 16S ribosomal RNA". It matches the Rfam family "Bacterial small subunit ribosomal RNA", at positions 28 to 507 of the family's 1533-position model. The record is from RNAcentral.